UACAGAGGUCCCAAGCGUUGUUCGGAUUCACUGGGCGUAAAGGGUGCGUAGGCGGUCGGGUAAGUCUGAUGUGAAAUCUCACAGCUUAACUGUGAAACUGCAUUGGAUACUAUCCGGCUCGAGGAAUGGAGGGGAGACUGGAAUACUUGGUGUAGCAGUGAAAUGCGUAGAUAUCAAGUGGAACACCAGUGGCGAAGGCGAGUCUCUGGACAUUUCCUGACGCUGAGGCACGAAAGCCAGGGGAGCAAACGUG
Molecule: ribosomal RNA, 253 nt
Filed under: uncultured bacterium
Lineage: Bacteria
Description: partial 16S ribosomal RNA
Rfam family: Bacterial small subunit ribosomal RNA
Source: RNAcentral